ACGGAGGGUGCAAGCGUUAAUCGGAAUUACUGGGCGUAAAGCGUGCGUAGGCGGUUAUUUAAGUCAGAUGUGAAAGCCCCGGGCUCAACCUGGGAACUGCAUUUGAAACUGGGUAACUAGAGUUUGGUAGAGGUGAGUAGAAUUCCUAGUGUAGCGGUGAAAUGCGUAGAUAUUAGGAGGAAUACCAGUGGCGAAGGCGGCUCACUGGACCAAAACUGACGCUGAGGUACGAAAGCGUGGGGAGCAAACAGG
Molecule: ribosomal RNA, 252 nt
Filed under: uncultured bacterium
Lineage: Bacteria
Description: partial 16S ribosomal RNA
Rfam family: Bacterial small subunit ribosomal RNA
Source: RNAcentral